UCCCGUGUAGCUCAGUUGGUAGAGCGUGGUGUUUGCAACGCCAGGGUUGUGGGUUUGAUUCCCACGGGGGGAC
This 73-nucleotide transfer RNA is filed under the name Salmo salar (Atlantic salmon). It matches the Rfam family "tRNA". Rfam says of the family: Transfer RNA (tRNA) molecules are approximately 80 nucleotides in length. The record is from Rfam by way of RNAcentral. Lineage: Eukaryota; Metazoa; Chordata; Actinopteri; Salmoniformes; Salmonidae.